Molecule: non-coding RNA, 47 nt
Organism: Picea glauca (white spruce)
Lineage: Eukaryota; Viridiplantae; Streptophyta; Pinopsida; Pinales; Pinaceae
Source: Rfam
GAAAAAGCCCUAUUUAGGGCUACCGAAAAAUCUGUUGUAGAAUUCAU